Apodemus sylvaticus (European woodmouse) is the source of this 709-nucleotide long non-coding RNA. RefSeq lists it as uncharacterized. Lineage: Eukaryota; Metazoa; Chordata; Mammalia; Rodentia; Muridae. The transcript has 3 exons. The record is from RefSeq and is a predicted model, not a curated record.
UGAUUUGUUUUGUUUGCUUUAAAAUUAUCAUUGCAGGGGAAGCACUGCCGAAUAGAUGAUGAACAAGUGAUAGAAAAUUAGCCCCUGGCUGAACUCACCAAAGCUCUCUGGGCUGGGAUUAAAGGUAACAGAAUCCAGAGGUGCCUAGCCUUGGGGAGGUCGCCUUGUGGACUUUGAUCAGGUCCAACAACGUGCUCAAUUUCCUGAUCUUUUUAAUCUGGAGCCAGCAAGAAAAUCUGAUCAGGGACAAAGAGUGGAUCAGACUCCAAAGGAAAGGCCAUCCAGAGACUGCCCCACCUGGGGGAUCCAUCACAUUUGCAGCUACCAAACCCAGACACUAUUGCUGAUGCCAAGAAGUGAUUGCUGACAGGAGCCUGAUAUAGCUGUCUCCUGAGAGGCUCUGCCAGAGCCUGACCAAUACAGAUUUGGAUGCUUGUAGCCAACCAUCGGACUGAGCAUGGAGAGCCCAAUGGAGGAGUUAGGGGAAGGACUGUAAGAGCUGAGGGGGUUUGCAGUCUCAUAGAAGAACAGCAAUAUCAACCAACCAGACCUCCCAGAGCUCCUAGGGACUAAACUACCAACCAAAGAGUACCCAUGGCUCCAGCUUCUUAUGUAGCAGAGAACGGCUUUAUCUAGCAUCAGUGGGAGGGAGGCCCUUGGUCCUGUGGAGGCUUGAUGCCAAAGUGUAGGGGAAUGCUAGGGCGGCAAG